Long non-coding RNA from Coffea arabica (coffee), 1027 nucleotides. RefSeq lists it as uncharacterized. The record is from RefSeq and is a predicted model, not a curated record. NCBI's taxonomy places the organism in Eukaryota, Viridiplantae, Streptophyta, Magnoliopsida, Gentianales, Rubiaceae.
UGCUUUGACUGUAUAGAUAGUAAAUAAUAGAAAUAGAUAUGGUUAAUUUCAUAGCAGUCCUUGAGAGUUUCCUUUCCCCAGUUUUCUCUCGUUCCAUCUUCUUCCCUGCUUUGCUCUUGGCAGACUAGAACCUUCAUUGCAUCCCAGCAAGAAACCUUGACCCGUCUCUCUGCUACCAGGAUGAAUCCUGAAUUCUUCACCGCUUUUAUAACCUUCUUGUCUCUUAUUCCUGAUCUUCUCGCGAUUUGAUAUUUUACAGUUCUUCUGAUUGGCUCGUCUAGCCAUCUCCAAGCCCCGCUUUGCAUCAUGUCUGUGCCGAUAGUUAGGGAGGAACAGAACUCAAUUACCCUAUCCAGUUCUUCUGAAGUCCAACUUAUGAUCUGUGGUGGGAUGAUGAACGGGGGGGAUGUGGCCAUUACAGAAGAGAGCACUAUCAGGUGUCAACCAACUACCGGUCUGCUGCACACAAAAAAGAAAAGAUAAUAGACACGAUAAUUUCAUGAAUUCUUUCCAACUAUGGAUUUGAUGAAUUCUUUCAUAAUGAUUAGAUGAAGGUGACUGUGUUGCUGAGUUGCAGGUGGAUGGAUGGAUUUCGAGCAUUAAAUCCGGCUGUCGGGAUUAAACAGAGGUUCGCCGCUUGGGUUUUAAAACUGCUGUCUUACUUGUCAAAUUUGGUGGGAGUUGACAUGUUCUGUAGAUGGUAUAUUCAAUUCUGGUGGUCCUGUCGGUAAAGAGUAUUAUGGAGGAUUAUACAGAAAUCAUCUCUCUUUCAUAGAAGAUAAGAGAUGGACUGAUAUUGUUGAGGACGCGAAAAAUAUUUUUGAUGUAGAGUUCAUAGCUACUAUUAAAACUUUACAGUAUUUUGUUGCACAAGGGCAUUAUAAGCAAUAUAAGAAGUUGUUAGUGCAAUGCGACAAUUAUGAGGCAGUGCACUUUGCGAAUAAAACUAGACUUGCUACUACUGAGAACCGUGUUAAACUGAUUAUGUUAGUAAUUUUAAAAUAUAUGUUAGUGUUCUUUUUUCUAA